CUACGGGACGCAGCAGUGGGGAAUCUUGCACAAUGGGCGAAAGCCUGAUGCAGCGAUUCCGCGUGGAGGAUGACGCAUUACGGUGUGUAAACUCCUUUUCUGGUGGAAGACGAAUGACGGUACACCAGGAAUAAGGGACGGCUAACUACGUGCCAGCAGCCGCGGUAAUACGUAGGUCCCAAGCGUUAUCCGGAUUUACUGGGCGUAAAGAGUCUGUAGCCUGAUAUAUAAGUCUGUUUUCAAAUACCUGGACUCAAUCGAGGGAAGGGGAUAGAUACUGUAUAUCUAGAGAUAAUUGGGGGUUAGUGGAAUUUCCGGUGGAGCGGUGAAAUGCGUUGAUAUCGGAAAGAAUGCCGAAAGCGAAAGCAGCUAACUACAAUACAUCUGACGGUGAGAGACGAAAGUUUGGGUAGCAAACGGGAUUAGAUACCCUUGUAGUC
This 440-nucleotide ribosomal RNA is filed under the name uncultured bacterium. RNAcentral describes it as "partial 16S ribosomal RNA". It matches the Rfam family "Bacterial small subunit ribosomal RNA", at positions 339 to 795 of the family's 1533-position model. The record is from RNAcentral.